GCUUCUGUAGGAUAACGCGGCUUGAUUCCGUUGGCUUUAGGCGCCAAAUAUUCUUGGUUCAAACCCAAGCAGAAGCU
This 77-nucleotide transfer RNA is filed under the name Parapercis cylindrica (cylindrical sandperch). RNAcentral describes it as "tRNA-Leu". It matches the Rfam family "tRNA". Rfam says of the family: Transfer RNA (tRNA) molecules are approximately 80 nucleotides in length. Lineage: Eukaryota; Metazoa; Chordata; Actinopteri; Uranoscopiformes; Pinguipedidae. The record is from RNAcentral.